RNAcentral lists this transfer RNA (38 nucleotides) under Libnotes perkinsi. Its description in RNAcentral is "partial tRNA-Leu". The record is from RNAcentral. Lineage: Eukaryota; Metazoa; Arthropoda; Insecta; Diptera; Limoniidae.
UUUAAGCUUCAUAUAUAAAGAAUUUUCUUUUAUUAGAA